This 214-nucleotide ribosomal RNA is filed under the name uncultured bacterium. RNAcentral describes it as "partial 16S ribosomal RNA". It matches the Rfam family "Bacterial small subunit ribosomal RNA", at positions 125 to 334 of the family's 1533-position model. The record is from RNAcentral.
CCUACCCUGGAGUGAGGAAUACCGGCGAGAAAUCGCCGACAAGACCGCAUCGGGUCGUCUUCUUGAGAGAGAGGGCGAGCAAAGCCUUUUCGGAGGCGCUACAGGAUGGGCCUGCGGCCGAUUAGCUGGUUGGUGAGGUAAGAGCUCACCAAGGCUGCGAUCGGUAGCUGGUCUGAGAGGACGAGCAGCCACACUGGGAUUGAGAACGGCCCAG